AUGAACGCUGGCGGCGUGCUUCACCCAUGCAAGUCGCACGAUGAAGCCCAGCUUGCUGGGUGGAUUGUGGCGAACGGGUGAGUAACACGUGAGUAACCUGCCCUUAACUCUGGGAUAAGCCUGGGAAACUGGGUCUAAUACCGGAUAGGAGCGUCCACCGCAUGGUGGGUGUUGGAAAGAUUUAUCGGUUUUGGAUGGACUCGCGGCCUAUCAGCUUGUUGGUGAGGUAAUGGCUCACCAAGGCGACGACGGGUAGCCGGCCUGAGAGGGUGACCGGCCACACUGGGACUGAGACACGGCCCAGACUCCUACGGGAGGCAGCAGUGGGGAAUAUUGCACAAUGGGCGAAAGCCUGAUGCAGCGACGCCGCGUGAGGGAUGACGGCCUUCGGGUUGUAAACCUCUCUCAGUAGGGAAGAAGCGAAAGUGACAGUACCUGCAGAAGAAGCACCGGCUAACUACGUG
RNAcentral lists this ribosomal RNA (464 nucleotides) under uncultured bacterium. Its description in RNAcentral is "partial 16S ribosomal RNA". It matches the Rfam family "Bacterial small subunit ribosomal RNA", at positions 29 to 507 of the family's 1533-position model. The record is from RNAcentral.